GGACUACCGGGGUAUCUAAUCCUGUUUGCUCCCCACGCUUUCGUGUCUCAGCGUCAGUUGUCGUCCAGUAAGCCGCCUUCGCCACUGGUGUUCCUCCAAAUAUCUACGCAUUUUACCGCUACACUUGGAAUUCCGCUUACCUCUCCGACACUCAAGCUAUGCAGUUUCAAAGGCAGUCCGGGGGUUGAGCCCCCGCCUUUCACCUCUGACUUGCUUAGCCGCCUACACACCCUUUACACCCAGUAAUUCCCGACAACGCUUGCCACCUACGUAUUACCGCGGCUGCUGGCAC
Molecule: ribosomal RNA, 292 nt
Filed under: uncultured bacterium
Lineage: Bacteria
Description: partial 16S ribosomal RNA
Source: RNAcentral